This is a non-coding RNA of Triplophysa dalaica, 536 nucleotides long. NCBI's taxonomy places the organism in Eukaryota, Metazoa, Chordata, Actinopteri, Cypriniformes, Nemacheilidae. The record is from the annotation of a RefSeq genome assembly.
GUUUAACACUUCAUGACUGACAACACAACACAACACAAUCUUCAGCAUCACACAAACCAACAAGAACAACAAUGACUUUCAGCAUCAUCUUCAUCUGGACACUCACAGUGUUUAUUACAGAAUCCAGAGGAGUUACUCUGACUCAACCUAGAGUGAAAAGUGUUCAACAGGGACAAACAACUACAAUAGAGUGUCAUAUAGAUGUAGGAAUAUAUAGCGACAACUUAUUCUGGUAUCAGCAGAGACCGGGAGAAGCUCCUAAACUCCUCAUAUAUGACAUCAAAAGCCUCCAGUCUGGAGUAUCAUCUAGAUUCAGUGGCAGUGGAACAGCAAGUACUGGAAAAGAUUUUACUCUGAGCAUCAGUGGAGUUCAGACUGAAGAUUCAGGAGAUUAUUACUGUCAGAGUUUACACUAUCCUAAUAGUAAAUAUGUGUUGACACAGUGAUAAAGAGUCGUACAAAAACCUCCGUCAGUCAGACUGAACAGUGACUGCACUGAUACACCUGACACAUACUGCAGCUGAUCAUACAACACA